Long non-coding RNA from Poecilia latipinna (sailfin molly), 1212 nucleotides. RefSeq lists it as uncharacterized. NCBI's taxonomy places the organism in Eukaryota, Metazoa, Chordata, Actinopteri, Cyprinodontiformes, Poeciliidae. The record is from RefSeq and is a predicted model, not a curated record. The transcript has 2 exons.
AAAAAAAUAUAUAUAUACCUCAGGUUUGGUGGAAAUGUGGAUUACGUUGGACAGUCAUAAAAUCAACCUCUUUAAAUUAAUUAUCAAACCAACUAAGAAGAGCCAGAAACCUGUUCUUGGAUGUGACCUGCAACUUGCUAAAGGACAUUAAACCAAACAUUAUUUGAGGUUCAUGAGAAUAUUUGAGGUUGUAUAUUUGAUUAUGACCAAACAUGGAUUUAAAACAAACAAAAGAAAAACUACAUUAAAGAUAAAACUUGAGCAAAAUUGCUUCUGAAGUUGCUGUUGUAGUUGUAUCAGUUGAAGUUUAAAUGCAUAAAACAGCCCAAACCAACGUGACAUUCAUCGGCACUGGAAUGUAUUUUGUUGAAAUACUAAUAUUUUGCACACACAUAAAGACAUGUUCAAGUGUGGAACACAAAAUGACAGCAAUGAUAAUAAAAAAGCAGAAUUCAGAAGAAAACAAAGAGGAAAAACAGAAGGAAAAGAGAGAGCUACUCAAUAAGAUAAAGAAUGGUUUGACAGAUACUGUAUUAAAUAACUAAAUUAAGUGGAAAAUGAGAAAUAAAGCAUCCCCUAAGGUUGAGGAUUGUCAUCUAACUACUUUAUAAACAAUUUUCACUUCUCUCAAAUAUUCUUUUCUCUCAUAGUGGCAGCACACUCCAGAGCAAAACAUCUAUAAUUUCCAAACCACACAUAAACACAUCAUUAAUAUGGUCUGUUUUAAUUAUAAAUAGGUGCCCAACUUUUGGUUUACAUCCGAUGAAUUGCUUCAACAUAUGAAAAAUCACAAAAAAAACAUCUCACCCCUUUUUUUUUGUAUUUUUUAUCACAGAGCAGUUAUAGGUGUCAAAUACGUGUAAUAUCCCUCUUUGGUCACUAGAGGGGGCUGUGGGCUCAAAUGAGCCACGGGGCGACACGUAAUAGGGAUGUGUUAAAACCAGAAGAGCGUUGAAGUUACCGUGGUGGCGGAGUCCGGGUAAAUACUGUUGUCGUGUUCUUUGGAGUUGUUGGGUUUUGUCUUGUCGGAAUGUAAUAAACUGGUGAACGUGGAAUCCAAGAAGAGCCCCGGAAAUGACGUUUAGACGCCACAAGCGCACCUCCAUCGUCUGGGAGCGGAGUCAGAAGCUCCUGCAGAGGAGGCGCAGGGUGCCCAAGGAGGGCGGAGGCAGUAGGGCCCAUACAUGCCCCAUCAUUCGUCUGAAGCCCAAA